RNAcentral lists this non-coding RNA (148 nucleotides) under Gorilla gorilla gorilla (western lowland gorilla). Lineage: Eukaryota; Metazoa; Chordata; Mammalia; Primates; Hominidae. The record is from Rfam by way of RNAcentral.
GCUGGGCAUGGUGGCGGGUGCCUGUAAUCCCAGCUACUAGGGAGGCUGAGGUAGGAGAAUUGCUUGAACCCAGGAGAUGGAGGUUGCAGUGAGCUGAGAUCACGCCACUGCACUCCAGCCUGGGCAACAGAGCAAGACUCCGUCUCAA